GACGGAGCAACGCCGCGUGAGUGAUGAAGGUUUUCGGAUCGUAAAGCUCUGUUGUUAGGGAAGAACAAGUGCGAGAGUAACUGCUCGCACCUUGACGGUACCUAACCAGAAAGCCACGGCUAACUACGUGCCAGCAGCCGCGGUAAUACGUAGGUGGCAAGCGUUGUCCGGAAUUAUUGGGCGUAAAGGGCUCGCAGGCGGUUUCUUAAGUCUGAUGUGAAAGCCCCCGGCUCAACCGGGGAGGGUCAUUGGAAACUGGGAAACUUGAGUGCAGAAGAGGAGAGUGGAAUUCCACGUGUAGCGGUGAAAUGCGUAGAGAUGUGGAGGAACACCAGUGGCGAAGGCGACUCUCUGGUCUGUAACUGACGCUGAGGAGCGAAAGCGUGGGGAGCGAACAGGAUUAGAUACCCUGGUAGUCCACGCCGUAAACGAUGAGUGCUAAGUGUUAGGGGGUUUCCGCCCCUUAGUGCUGCAGCUAACGCAUUAAGCACUCCGCCUGGGGAGUACGGUCGCAAGACUGAAACUCAAAGGAAUUGACGGGGGCCCGCACAAGCGGUGGAGCAUGUGGUUUAAUUCGAAGCAACGCGAAGAACCUUACCAGGUCUUGACAUCCUCUGACAACCCUAGAGAUAGGGCUUUCCCUUCGGGGACAGAGUGACAGGUGGUGCAUGGUUGUCGUCAGCUCGUGUCGUGAGAUGUUGGGUUAAGUCCCGCAACGAGCGCAACCCUUGAUCUUAGUUGCCAGCAUUCAGUUGGGCACUCUAAGGUGACUGCCGGUGACAAACCGGAGGAAGGUGGGGAUGACGUCAAAUCAUCAUGCCCCUUAUGACCUGGGCUACACACGUGCUACAAUGGACAGAACAAAGGGCUGCAAGACCGCAAGGUUUAGCCAAUCCCAUAAAUCUGUUCUCAGUUCGGAUCGCAGUCUGCAACUCGACUGCGUGAAGCUGGAAUCGCUAGUAAUCGCGGAUCAGC
RNAcentral lists this ribosomal RNA (975 nucleotides) under Bacillus sp. (in: firmicutes). RNAcentral's name for it is "bacterial SSU rRNA". It matches the Rfam family "Bacterial small subunit ribosomal RNA", at positions 385 to 1353 of the family's 1533-position model. The record is from RNAcentral. Lineage: Bacteria; Bacillati; Bacillota; Bacilli; Caryophanales; Bacillaceae.